AUAGUUUUUGAUUGGUUAAAUAGUUUUCGCAUGAUGAUCAAUUUGAGAAGUUUUCAAUCUUCAGCUUGUACUCCAUUAAGAUAUUUGGUUUCAGUGCUUGAGCAGGAGCUUAUCAAGGCUAAAGAUGAUACUAAUGAUACCAUGAAAAAGUUGAGGGAAGUUGAUAAAACAUGUUCACAGUUGCAACAGAAUUUGGAAAAGUUUGGAGGAAAAGCUCUGCAAUUUAGAGGAUGAGAAUCAUGUAUUGCAUCAAAAAGCAUUGAGUUCUCCGAAGGGCAUCCGUCCUGGUUUUGUCAAGCCAUUUUUGGAGAAAUUGAUGAGCAAGCGGAGCUUCUACCUGAUGGAACCCUUCUCGUGUACGUAGCUUUGUGGCUUAAAAUAUUUCAUUUUUUUGUUUUUUUUUUUGUUUUGG
Non-coding RNA from Camellia sinensis, 412 nucleotides. The record is from RefSeq and is a predicted model, not a curated record. Lineage: Eukaryota; Viridiplantae; Streptophyta; Magnoliopsida; Ericales; Theaceae.